CAACCUCAUUUUUGGAGUUUAGGAGGGAAUUCUCAAAAGCAAUAAGCUUUCACGAUUUGAACAAAAUGGAAGCGGGAUCCGGACUGUUGUGGGUCGGGUUUUCCAUUUCCGAAUUGACUUGGAUCCCUUAUAUUUCUUUUUUUGAAAGCUUUCUUCCUCUACACAUCAGAUCUCCUUCGUCUCUACCAUCACCCUCAAAACCCUAGCGGCGCAUAUGCAUCAUCUUCAGCAAAUCCACACAUCUUCUUCAGCAAAUCGAACGAUAGUGAUUCUCAUGUUACCUUUACACCACCGAUUCUGUAGAUUUGAGAUGCAGUUACCCGAGAUUUCGGAUAGUAGAUCAGCAAACUAAAAUCUGGAUAAAGAUUUGUUUUUUCAUCUAGAAACGCUGAAAAUGACGCAACGUUUUGGGGAUCGAUGAAGGAAGAUUAUGUAGCAAUUAAUCCUCCCAGUGGUUUUCAAGGUUGAUGGAAUUGUGGAUAGAUAUCGACAUAUGGUAUUGAGAUGCGGGUAAGUUUAGAGUUAAGACAAAAGAAUUAGGGAGCAUUCUCUCAAUUUUUGGCUACACAGGUAUGUAAAUUUAUAUCAAUCAUUGUUUGUUACUUAUAUUGAUUAUUGAUCUUUAUGUUGAGCAUUCUCUCAACUUUUGU
Molecule: long non-coding RNA, 650 nt
Organism: Helianthus annuus (common sunflower)
Lineage: Eukaryota; Viridiplantae; Streptophyta; Magnoliopsida; Asterales; Asteraceae
Exons: 4
Source: RefSeq, a predicted model, not a curated record